Molecule: ribosomal RNA, 497 nt
Filed under: uncultured bacterium
Lineage: Bacteria
Description: partial 16S ribosomal RNA
Rfam family: Bacterial small subunit ribosomal RNA
Source: RNAcentral
GAUGAACGCUGGCGGCGUGCCUAAUACAUGCAAGUCGAGCGAACAGACGAGGAGCUUGCUCCUCUGACGUUAGCGGCGGACGGGUGAGUAACACGUGGAUAACCUACCUAUAAGACUGGGAUAACUUCGGGAAACCGGAGCUAAUACCGGAUAAUAUAUUGAACCGCAUGGUUCAAUAGUGAAAGACGGUUUUGCUGUCACUUAUAGAUGGAUCCGCGCCGCAUUAGCUAGUUGGUAAGGUAACGGCUUACCAAGGCAACGAUGCGUAGCCGACCUGAGAGGGUGAUCAGCCACACUGGAACUGAGACACGGUCCAGACUCCUACGGGAGGCAGCAGUAGGGAAUCUUCCGCAAUGGGCGAAAGCCUGACGGAGCAACGCCGCGUGAGUGAUGAAGGUCUUCGGAUCGUAAAACUCUGUUAUUAGGGAAGAACAAAUGUGUAAGUAACUAUGCACGUCUUGACGGUACCUAAUCAGAAGGCCACGGCUAACUACGUG